CGACCAAAGGGGAUGNCNUUAGUACGGCGAGUGAAGCGGCAAAAGCUCAAAUUUGAAAUCUGGCACCUUCGGUGUCCGAGUUGUAAUUUGAAGAAGGUAACUUUGGAGUUGGCUCUUGUCUAUGUUCCUUGGAACAGGACGUCACAGAGGGUGAGAAUCCCGUGCGAUGAGAUGCCCAAUUCUAUGUAAAGUGCUUUCGAAGAGUCGAGUUGUUUGGGAAUGCAGCUCUAAGUGGGUGGUAAAUUCCAUCUAAAGCUAAAUAUUGGCGAGAGACCGAUAGCGAACAAGUACAGUGAUGGAAAGAUGAAAAGAACUUUGAAAAGAGAGUGAAAAAGUACGUGAAAUUGUUGAAAGGGAAGGGCUUGAGAUCAGACUUGGUAUUUUGCGAUCCUUUCCUUCUUGGUUGGGUUCCUCGCAGCUUACUGGGCCAGCAUCGGUUUGGAUGGUAGGAUAAUGACUAAGGAAUGUGGCUCUACUUCGGUGGAGUGUUAUAGCCUUGGUUGAUACUGCCUGUCUAGACCGAGGACUGCGUCUUUUGACUAGGAUGUUGGCAUAAUGAUCUUAAGCCACCCGUCUUGAGCAAACGGACCAAAA
This 594-nucleotide ribosomal RNA is filed under the name Debaryomyces hansenii. RNAcentral describes it as "LSU rRNA". It matches the Rfam family "Eukaryotic large subunit ribosomal RNA", at positions 56 to 671 of the family's 3401-position model. The record is from RNAcentral. Lineage: Eukaryota; Fungi; Ascomycota; Pichiomycetes; Serinales; Debaryomycetaceae.